RNAcentral lists this ribosomal RNA (253 nucleotides) under uncultured bacterium. Its description in RNAcentral is "partial 16S ribosomal RNA". It matches the Rfam family "Bacterial small subunit ribosomal RNA", at positions 524 to 776 of the family's 1533-position model. The record is from RNAcentral.
GACGAACCGUGCGAACGUUGUUCGGAUUCACUGGGCUUAAAGGGCGCGUAGGCGGGCGGGCAAGUCCGGGGUGAAAGCGUGCGGCUCAACCGCACAAGGGCCUUGGAUACUGCCUGUCUCGAGGGAGGUAGGGGCGUGCGGAACUUCCGGUGGAGCGGUGAAAUGCGUAGAUAUCGGAAGGAACACCGGUGGCGAAAGCGGCGCGCUGGGCCUCUUCUGACGCUGAGGCGCGAAAGCCAGGGGAGCAAACGGG